RNAcentral lists this ribosomal RNA (488 nucleotides) under uncultured bacterium. Its description in RNAcentral is "partial 16S ribosomal RNA". It matches the Rfam family "Bacterial small subunit ribosomal RNA", at positions 355 to 835 of the family's 1533-position model. The record is from RNAcentral.
UAGGGAAUCUUCCACAAUGGACGAAAGUCUGAUGGAGCAACGCCGCGUGAGUGAUGAAGAGUUUCGGCUCGUAAAACUCUGUUGUUGGAGAAGAACAGGUGUGAGAGUAACUGUUCACAUCUUGACGGUAUCCAACCAGAAAGCCACGGCUAACUACGUGCCAGCAGCCGCGGUAAUACGUAGGUGGCAAGCGUUGUCCGGAUUUAUUGGGCGUAAAGCGAGCGCAGGCGGUUUCUUAGGUCUGAUGUGAAAGCCUUCGGCUUAACCGGAGAAGUGCAUCGGAAACCAGGAGACUUGAGUGCAGAAGAGGACAGUGGAACUCCAUGUGUAGCGGUGAAAUGCGUAGAUAUAUGGAAGAACACCAGUGGCGAAGGCGGCUGUCUGGUCUGUAACUGACGCUGAGGCUCGAAAGCAUGGGUAGCGAACAGGAUUAGAUACCCUGGUAGUCCAUGCCGUAAACGAUGAGUGCUAAGUGUUGGAGGUUUCCG